Molecule: long non-coding RNA, 689 nt
Filed under: Equus asinus (donkey)
Lineage: Eukaryota; Metazoa; Chordata; Mammalia; Perissodactyla; Equidae
Description: lncRNA (ENSEASG00005026809.1)
Source: RNAcentral
AGGGGCCCCUCCAUCACAUGAACAGUGGUUUUACCGCAGGGUCAUGACACAUGAAGAAAUUGAAGUCAGCCAGCUGAUGUGGAGAUCUCUCUCUCUCUCUGACAGAGUAAUAAGCACAACUAAGGAUAAGGUGCAGACUGCCAGCAAAAUAUUAAUUUCCUCCUUGGGUUGAUUAAUAUCCCUUGUUUUAAUUCGGUUAUUGGCGUAGCUGAGAGACAGCGUGGGGAGCUACAGUCUCACAUGGCCGCAGAGGAUACCUCCCUUUCUGAAGGGAGUGACCUUAGCUGCUGGAACUUGACCCAGCCUUGGUCCAGAUGUGCAACUGCUCAAAACAGCACACUCCUGGUUGGCAAAAGCAUCGAUUAGCAUGUAACACAUGCCCACAGGAGCUAAGCGUCCAAGACUCUGUGGCUUUUGUUCCCGGGUGGAAAAGCUCAAGCCAACGUCUGUGGUUCUCCCUCCAACAGCACCAGUGUGUGCAGGCUGGGAUAUCCGGUGUCUGCACUCAUGAGAAUUUGUCAUUUUUAUGGCUCUGCGGUGAGCUUAUGUUGAGCAACGCUCUGACUCCAGCUGCUUUUCCACCUGCACAGAUCUCGGUGACAAUGCUCAAGAAAUAAAUCGGAAAAGGAAUUGGAAAAUUACUGUUUGAGGGCAAAAUUCCAGGCUAUUCUACUAAAGGCUUAUUAAAC